AGAGUUUGAUCCUGGCUCAGAACGAACGCUGGCGGCGUGGAUAAGACAUGCAAGUCGAACGCUGAUUGUCGGGUAGCAAUAUUCGGCAGUCGGAGUGGCGCAAGGGUGCGUAACACGUGGGUAAUUUGCCGUGAAGCUGGGGAUAACUCCGAGAAAUCGGAGCUAAUACCGAAUGUGACAUUCCUGGGCAACCGGGACUGUUAAAGUUGGGGACCGCAAGGCCUGACACUUCACGAUAAGCCCGCGGCCUAUCAGCUAGUUGGCGGGGUAACGGCCCACCAAGGCUAAGACGGGUAGCUGGUCUGAGAGGACGACCAGCCACACUGGAACUGAGACACGGUCCAGACACCUACGGGUGGCAGCAGUCGAGAAUUUUUCACAAUGGGCGCAAGCCUGAUGGAGCGACGCCGCGUGGGGGAUGAAUGGCUUCGGCCCGUAAACCCCUGUCAUUUGCGAACAAACCUUGCCUGUUAACACCAGGCAAGUUGAUAGUAGCGAAAGAGGAAGGGACGGCUAACUCUGUGCCAGCAGCCGCGGUAAUACAGAGGUCCCAAGCGUUGUUCGGAUUCACUGGGCGUAAAGGGUGCGUAGGCGGUGAAGUAAGUCCGAUGUGAAAUCUCCGAGCUUAAC
RNAcentral lists this ribosomal RNA (630 nucleotides) under uncultured bacterium. RNAcentral's name for it is "bacterial SSU rRNA". It matches the Rfam family "Bacterial small subunit ribosomal RNA", at positions 8 to 613 of the family's 1533-position model. The record is from RNAcentral.